RNAcentral lists this ribosomal RNA (1467 nucleotides) under Pseudomonas simiae. Its description in RNAcentral is "bacterial SSU rRNA". It matches the Rfam family "Bacterial small subunit ribosomal RNA". The record is from RNAcentral. Lineage: Bacteria; Pseudomonadati; Pseudomonadota; Gammaproteobacteria; Pseudomonadales; Pseudomonadaceae.
CGGAACCCCUAAAAGCUUGUUCCUCGAGCGGGAGAGAGAAGCUUGCUUCUCUUGAGAGCGGCGGACGGGUGAGUAAUGCCUAGGAAUCUGCCUGGUAGUGGGGGAUAACGUUCGGAAACGGACGCUAAUACCGCAUACGUCCUACGGGAGAAAGCAGGGGACCUUCGGGCCUUGCGCUAUCAGAUGAGCCUAGGUCGGAUUAGCUAGUUGGUGAGGUAAUGGCUCACCAAGGCAACGAUCCGUAACUGGUCUGAGAGGAUGAUCAGUCACACUGGAACUGAGACACGGUCCAGACUCCUACGGGAGGCAGCAGUGGGGAAUAUUGGACAAUGGGCGAAAGCCUGAUCCAGCCAUGCCGCGUGUGUGAAGAAUGGUCCUCGAAUCGGUAAAGCACUUUAAGUUAGGGAGGAAGAGCAGGUAACUUAAUACGUGAUUGUUUUGACGUUACCGACAGGAAUUAAGCACCGGCUAACUCUGUGCCCAGCAGCCGCGGUAAUACAGAGGGGUGCAAGCGUUAAUCGGAAAUUACUGGGCGUAAAGCGCGCGUAGGUGGUUAGUUAAGUUGGGAUGUGAAAUCCCCGGGCUCAACCUGGGAACUGCAUUCAAAACUGACUGACUAGAGUAUGGUAGAGGGUGGUGGAAUUUCCUGUGUAGCGGUGAAAUGCGUAGAUAUAGGAAGGAACACCAGUGGCGAAGGCGACCACCUGGACUGAUACUGACACUGAGGUGCGAAAGCGUGGGGAGCAAACAGGAUUAGAUACCCUGGUAGUCCACGCCGUAAACGAUGUCAACUAGCCGUUGGGAGCCUUGAGCUCUUAGUGGCGCAGCUAACGCAUUAAGUUGACCGCCUGGGGAGUACGGCCGCAAGGUUAAAACUCAAAUGAAUUGACGGGGGCCCGCACAAGCGGUGGAGCAUGUGGUUUAAUUUCGAAGCAACGCGAAGAACCUUUACCAGGCCCUUGACAUCCCAAUGAACUUUCUAGAGAAUAGAUUGGGUGCCUUUCGGGAACAUUGAGAACAGGUGCUGCAUGACUGUCGUCAGCCUCCGUGUCGUGCAAAAUGUUGGGUUAAGUCCCGUAACGAGGCGCCAACCCCGGUCCUUAGUUACACAGCCAACGUUAAUGGUGGGCACUCUAAGGAGACUGCCGGUGACAAACCGGAGGAAGGUGGGGAUGACGUCAAGUCAUCAUGGCCCUUACGGCCUGGGCUACACACGUGCUACAAUGGUCGGUACAGAGGGUUGCCAAGCCGCGAGGUGGAGCUAAUCCCAGAAAACCGAUCGUAGUCCGGAUCGCAGUCUGCAACUCGACUGCGUGAAGUCGGAAUCGCUAGUAAUCGCGAAUCAGAAUGUCGCGGUGAAUACGUUCCCGGGCCUUGUACACACCGCCCGUCACACCAUGGGAGUGGGUUGCACCAGAAGUAGCUAGUCUAAAAUGUGGCAACAGGGUCCCCUGUAGUUUUCCCCCC